This is a long non-coding RNA of Arabidopsis lyrata subsp. lyrata, 426 nucleotides long. RefSeq lists it as uncharacterized. The record is from RefSeq and is a predicted model, not a curated record. NCBI's taxonomy places the organism in Eukaryota, Viridiplantae, Streptophyta, Magnoliopsida, Brassicales, Brassicaceae. The transcript is spliced from 3 exons.
CUCUCUCUCUCUCUCUCUCUCUCUCUCUCUCUCUCUCUCUCUCGCUUCCUCCGUCACUUUUACUUAUCAUUACCCUAAUUUUGCAAGGGGUAUCAAUUGAAAUUGAAAAGUUUUGGAAUUGGUUGGAAACGCAGCGAGGGAUAACAAGAAGACUAGGUUGGUGCCACGUCACAUUAAUCUUGCGGUGUGGAACGAUGAUGAGCCGAGCAAGUUGCAAAGAGUUCUUUGUGCACACAAUGUGUUCGACGAUUUGACUGUGAGACGGAAACCAAGAAUAUUAAAGUAACUGACAAUGUCAACGAGAAUGUUAAAGUAACUAACUUGGAUUUGGUUCAAUAUUCGCUAAGGAAGAAUGUUGGUGGCUGAGAGAUGGAGAUUCAACAGAGGAAAAGCCAGGUUCAUGCAUUUAGUCAUUUUGAUUGUUUC